RNAcentral lists this ribosomal RNA (253 nucleotides) under uncultured bacterium. Its description in RNAcentral is "partial 16S ribosomal RNA". It matches the Rfam family "Bacterial small subunit ribosomal RNA", at positions 524 to 776 of the family's 1533-position model. The record is from RNAcentral.
UACGGAGGGUGCGAGCGUUGUCCGGAAUCACUGGGCUUAAAGGGCGCGUAGGCGGGCUGCCAAGUCUGGGGUGAAAUCCCACGGCUCAACCGUGGAACUGCCUCUGAUACUGCGGGCCUGGAGGGGGAUAGGGGCGUGCGGAACUUCCGGUGGAGCGGUGAAAUGCGUAGAUAUCGGAAGGAACACCGGUGGCGAAAGCGGCGCGCUGGAUCCCUACUGACGCUGAGGCACGAAAGCCAGGGGAGCAAACGGG